GAGUUUGUCCUGGCAGUUCCAAAGUGCUCACAGUGCAGGUAGUGCCAGUGGAUCUACUGCAAUGUCUGCACUUCAAGUAUUGCCGGACGCCUUC
Danio rerio (zebrafish) is the source of this 94-nucleotide microRNA precursor. Ensembl annotates it as microRNA 20b. Its record names the gene mir20b. Lineage: Eukaryota; Metazoa; Chordata; Actinopteri; Cypriniformes; Danionidae. The record is from Ensembl.